This 467-nucleotide ribosomal RNA is filed under the name uncultured bacterium. Its description in RNAcentral is "partial 16S ribosomal RNA". It matches the Rfam family "Bacterial small subunit ribosomal RNA", at positions 28 to 507 of the family's 1533-position model. The record is from RNAcentral.
GAUGAACGCUGGCGGCGUGCUUAACACAUGCAAGUCGAACGGAAAGGCCCAAGCUUGCUUGGGUACUCGAGUGGCGAACGGGUGAGUAACACGUGGGUGAUCUGCCCUGCACUUCGGGAUAAGCCUGGGAAACUGGGUCUAAUACCGGAUAGGACCACUUCUUGGAUGUUGUGGUGGAAAGUUUUUUCGGUGUGGGAUGAGCUCGCGGCCUAUCGGCUUGUUGGUGGGGUAAUGGCCUACCAAGGCGUCGACGGGUAGCCGGCCUGAGAGGGUGUACGGCGACAUUGGGACUGAGAGACGGCCCAGACUCCUACGGGAGGCAGCAGGGGGGAAGAUAGCACAAUGGGCGCAAGCCUGAUGCAGCGAGGCCGCGUGGGGGAUGACGGCCUUCGGGUUGUAAACUCCUUUCGCUAGGGACGAAGCGUUUUGUGACGGUACCUGGAGAAGAAGCACCGGCUAACUACGUG